CGCGGCGGGGCGGGACGCGGCGGAGGGGUCAGCGCGGCGCGGCGCGAAGCUGCGGGCGGCCAUGGGGAAGCUGCUGGCGGUGGCUCUCGCCGGGAUAGCGGCGGCCUUGGCGGUGGAGCGGCUGCUGGCCUUUCGGAACAGGCUCAAUGCUUCACGGGAAAUAGCCCCAGUAACCCUCCCGAACUGCCGGCUCAUUAAAGGGAUUGAAAGUGGUUCUGAAGACAUUGACAUACUUCCCAAUGGACUGGCUUUCAUCAGCUCUGGCUUGAAAUACCCAGGAAUAAAGAGCUUUGCACCAGACAAGCCAGGUGAAAUAUUUUUGAUGGAUUUGAAUGAAGACAAUCCCAGAGCAGUGGAACUGAGAAUCAGCCGAGGGUUUGAUCUGGCAUCCUUUAACCCUCAUGGAAUCAGCACCUACGUAGACAAAGAUGACACCGUGUACCUCUUUGUUGUGAACCAUCCCCAUCAGAAGAGCACAAUAGAGUUGUUUAAAUAUGUGGAAGAUGACAAUUCUCUUGUGCACCUGAAAACCAUUCGACAUGACCUUCUGACAAGCGUGAAUGAUGUGGUAGCUGUGGGACCAGACAGCUUCUAUGCUACCAAUGACCACUAUUUCUCCGACUUCGUCUUGAUGUUCUUGGAGAUGUUCUUGGGUUUAACUUGGUCAAAUGUUGUUUACUACAGUCCUAAAGAAGUGAAAGAAGUAGCAGCUGGGUUUUAUUCAGCCAAUGGAAUUAACAUUUCACCUGACAGAAAGUUCAUCUACAUUGCAGAUAUAUUUGAUCAUAAUGUCCAUGUUAUGGAAAAACAUGCAAAUUGGAGUUUAACCUAUGUGAAGAAGCUGCAGCUGGACACUCUGGUCGAUAAUUUGUCUGUUGACCCAUCCACUGGAGACAUCUGGACAGGAUGUCAUCCCAAUGGGAUGAAGCUCCUCUACUACGAUCCUGAAAAUCUGCCUGCUUCUGAGGUCCUGCGCAUCCAGAACAUCCUCUCAGAAGAGCCUGUGGUGACACGCGUCUAUGCCGACAAUGGCUCCGUGCUGCAGGGAAGCUCCGUGGCAUCCGUCUACGAGGGAAAACUGCUCAUCGGCACAGUCUUCCACAGAGCUCUCUACUGUGAGCUAUAGCUUGCUGCGGACAUUUUCAGCUUCCCUGAGAAGUGAUGCGCUUUCCUACAGGAAUUUGUAAUCCGUGUUCAGCCUCGAGGAGCAGAUCUUAUUCCUAGAGCCCAAGCAGAAAAGCUGCCCUGAAGGAAGCUCUCACAAUAAGGAGAGAAUGGGCUAUUAACUUGUUUGUGAUUAGCCAUCUUAUACUAGCCUUUUAGAAUAACCAUUAGGCUGUUGCCACUGUUUGUUCUCAAAUCAAGUGCCACCUGCUAAAGAACUGGAGUUUUGCAGCAGUGGCAGUAACAGCUGAAAUACCAGCCGGUUGCUCUGCCGGUCCUGGGUUUACUCUAUGGUUGUGGAAUCAUAACAACCAGCAUUUCCCUCAGCAGUGGUAGAAGUAACCCAUCAAAACAUUAAUUUCACAUUUUCCAGUAGCUUCAAACAUCUUCAGGAGAGCAAAUCUACACGUUGUUGGAUCUUUCAACCUUCUACUUUUUUGUUGGGUUUUGGCCUUUCAGAAAAUCAUGUUUUCACUUGUCACUGGAUUUUGAUUUUUCCCCUCUUUUUUAAACCGUUCCUGUAGUGGAGGUUUUCCCAGCAGUCUGCCUGCAGACAGAAACAUAUGCAAGCGAUUGGCCUUUUCUUUUCCUAAAGCAUUUGAGAAGAGAGAGAUCAUAGGCAAGUAGCUUGGAAGCCUGUUGUCAACCUUUAAGGGUGUCCCAGCCUCGCAGUGCAGAACUGGGAGUUGAAGCUGAGCCAGCAUGCAUGAAAAUGGUACUGGGCAGGACACAGACAGCAAGCAUGCAUUCUGCAGCAAAAUCAGUGCUGGGCAGAGCUUCUACCCCUGAGCAUGAAAUCACCACUUGAUGAAACUCACCAUCAAUCAGUCUCAGUGUGGAAACAGCAAUGGAGGAAGAUGCGCCUCAAGCCUGGCCUCACAAUGACAAGGUGACCUGCACAGGGCAAAUGUGGGUUUGCAGCCUGGAGGAAAGCAUAACCCAUCAUCUUUUACGAACUGUAGAGCCUGGAGCAGUUCUGGCCAUUUCAGACACCAAACUGCAGGAAUCUGAGACCACUUUGCACAAACAACGGGGACAUAUGUAUAGACAGCUCCAGGCUUAGGAAGCUGCUGAGCAGACACAUUUUACAAGCCAGUCAUGAACUUAACAGCCCUUAACAUACCUAUUUUAAUUAAGAUAAUAAUUAAGGUGGUACCCAUAUUAGCAGAAUGUAAGCUUUAUGGCUCCGCUGCUGGGAAGCACAGACUGGGUUAGAGAGAUUAAGUGCAGACGAGUAUUUGGCCUAGAUUCUGCCAGAUGCAAAUCCACUGAAAUGACUACACAAAUUGGACAAUCUGUGCCCUCUGCUUUCUCCAAGUUAAUGCUUUAAUAAAAUAAAAUAAGCAAAGACAUAUUAAACAUG
RNA transcript from Pezoporus occidentalis (night parrot), 2527 nucleotides. It is a transcript of the gene named serum paraoxonase/arylesterase 2, with no coding region annotated. The record is from RefSeq and is a predicted model, not a curated record. Lineage: Eukaryota; Metazoa; Chordata; Aves; Psittaciformes; Psittacidae. The transcript is spliced from 11 exons.